CACGGGUGAGUAACACGUGGGUAACCUUCCCUAGAGCGGGGGAUAACAUUCCGAAAGGAGUGCUAAUACCGCAUAAGACCACCGAAAGAAAAGCAGCACUCUAGGCUGGGCCCGCGGCCCAUCAGCUAGUUGGCAGGGUAACGGCCUACCAAGGCGAAGACGGGUAGCUGGUCUGAGAGGAUGAUCAGCCACACUGGAACUGAGACACGGUCCAGACUCCUACGGGAGGCAGCAGUGGGGAAUCUUGCGCAAUGGGCGAAAGCCUGACGCAGCGACGCCGCGUGGGUGAUGAAGGCCUUCGGGUUGUAAAGCCCUGUGGGGAGAGACGAAUGACGGUAUCUCCUUAGCAAGCACCGGCUAACUCUGUGCCAGCAGCCGCGGUAAGACAGAGGGUGCAACCGUUGUUCGGAAUUACUGGGCGUAAAGCGUGUG
This 432-nucleotide ribosomal RNA is filed under the name uncultured soil bacterium. RNAcentral describes it as "bacterial SSU rRNA". It matches the Rfam family "Bacterial small subunit ribosomal RNA", at positions 100 to 571 of the family's 1533-position model. The record is from RNAcentral.